RNAcentral lists this long non-coding RNA (376 nucleotides) under Gossypium barbadense (sea-island cotton). RNAcentral's name for it is "long non-coding RNA (GBAR_LNC010220)". Lineage: Eukaryota; Viridiplantae; Streptophyta; Magnoliopsida; Malvales; Malvaceae. The record is from RNAcentral.
AAUAUUUCAACGAUUUAAUCAACCCAAAAACCCUAGAUCGAUAAUCCUUGACCCUGGUAACCGGGCACUCAUAUAGAUCGAGGGAAACAAGCUUAAGCUGGGCAAGAGGGGCAAGAGCCUCUAUAUAUUGAAUCCGGUUAUUAGACAAGUCAAGGUCCCGGAGCGAGUCAAGACCAGCUUCAACGAGGAAUUCUAGGCCACCGGCUAUUCUAUUGUCUGAAAGGAUUAAUUUCUGGAGAUUUCGAAGACGAGGAAACUGUUCUAGAGAUGAAACACCGAUAUUGGCAAUUGAAAGGUGUUGAAGAUUCUCAAAUUUUUCCAAAAGGCUCGGCGGCGGGAGGCGACCUUGAACACACUUCACCGCACCGUCAAGUGU